AGUGUCGUCACAAACUCGUGACGUCCCCGCGUGACCUCACCGCUGCGGGGCGAUGGAGCGAAAAGUGAGGAAACUGAAGUCCCGGGAGAGACAGUGGCAAGGUCAAGUAGCAAAGUGCACUCAGCCCUCCCAGCAAGGAGUCUGCCACUCGCGCUUGAAGGACGUGUUUGAAGAGCUGCUUUCCCAGUGGGAUGCUGCCUUAAAGUCUUGAUUCCCUGGCACUCUUUCCUAUUACUACAUUUUAUCGGUGCUGUUUGUGUUAUGCAACGGUAGCAUCGUGUCUCCGGAAGAUAAAAAAGGUCUCGAUACAAACAUCCAUAACCUUCCACCCACUCCGUCAGGAACAACCCAAUCAAAAUAAAGUCAUGAGAA
RNAcentral lists this long non-coding RNA (372 nucleotides) under Homo sapiens (human). RNAcentral's name for it is "HSALNT0333937". The record is from RNAcentral. Lineage: Eukaryota; Metazoa; Chordata; Mammalia; Primates; Hominidae.